CUGCAGUCCUAACCUGUCCUCAAUAGAGAAUGUGUGGAGAGUUUUGAAAUGAAAAAUUCAAUGACAACGACCCUGUACUUACUAAUGAGUC
Molecule: long non-coding RNA, 91 nt
Organism: Thalassophryne amazonica
Lineage: Eukaryota; Metazoa; Chordata; Actinopteri; Batrachoidiformes; Batrachoididae
Exons: 3
Source: RefSeq, a predicted model, not a curated record